Macaca mulatta (Rhesus monkey) is the source of this 1868-nucleotide long non-coding RNA. RefSeq lists it as uncharacterized. The record is from RefSeq and is a predicted model, not a curated record. NCBI's taxonomy places the organism in Eukaryota, Metazoa, Chordata, Mammalia, Primates, Cercopithecidae.
AGUGCACUUUAAAUACAGUUCUAUUUAUCUUCCAACAGGUAUAAAAACCAUUAUAAACUAUAUAAUGAAUUGGUUGUACCAGUUUAUUCAAUAAAUAUUUAAAGUUAUUAAGAUAGGAAUUAUAUACUUUGAAGGAAACAUAAUAAUGGAUUUUAUCCUUGAGGCUAAAAAGCACUUGUGGGGCUUUUGGUCUCCUCCUCUUGAACAGAUUUGUGACUGUUUUCCACCACUACAGUUCAGCAGAAAUUAUGCAAAAUAAUUGUCCAAAGUAGGGACAGAAAAGACCAGGAAACUGGAAAGACUGUGGAUGUCAGCUGGAGUAAACAUUCACUCCCAGAGCCCCAAGCUGCCAGGUGGAAAGCCCAGCUAUCCUGAGGCUCAGAAAGUAUGAGGAGGAGGCCAGGCCAUGUGGAGAGCCCAGGUGUAAGGUGUUGAAGUUGCCAGUCUCAGCUGCAGCCAGGCUUCAAGUCAUUCUAGCCCAGCCAAGAUCUAUCAAUGAAGAAGCCUCCAGAUAAUUCCUGCCCGGUACAAUCAAGUCAGCUGGAACUGCUACACUGCCCAGUAGAGAUAAACCACACCUGCCUUGCAAUGUCCAAGUUUCUGACUCAUAGAAUCUGUGAGCAUGAUGAAAUGGUGGUGUUUUAUGCCACUAGGUUUUGAGAUGAUUUGUUACACAGGAAAGAUAAUCAGAAAAGUUUUCAAGGCUGACUACAAAUUAAUGUAAUAUAAUGUCAAUGAAACUUUUUGUGUUAACAUGGAAUUGUGACUGAAGCCACAAAGCUGACAAAGUGAAGUGUUACAAGUGUAUCAACUCUCAAUAGAGCUGCCCAAUAGAGGGCCAGGCCAAGCAGCAGCACAUGGGCCAUUGUGCAAUCACACCAGCCACUAAUGUGUUUGACAGGAUACUUAUUUUGCAAAUCUGCAUUUAUCAUUAAGUAUAAAGAGGUGCUUGCCUCACUUUCAAUGGUCAACAACCUAAGGUGACUUAAAAAAAAAUACUGAUGCCAAGUCCCUCCCCAGAUGGAUUGAAUCAGAGCUACUUAGGGUGGAGCCAAAAGGCUUGUUUGUUUUUUAAAGCUUCCCAGGUAAUUCUAAUGUGUGUGUAGUCAGGUAUGAGAACGAUUGCAAGCAAAAGCAGCUGAGGGAAGCUUUCCAAGGAGUAGGCUCAAUAGUAUGAACUGCAAAUACCUGAGAAGGGAAAAGUUCAGCCUUGUGCUGGAAAGUGGUUUAGCAUGCUGGAGCUGGUUUUCUGUUUGGUAGCCCUACAACUUUGGCCCAAUUACUUGGCCUCUGGGACUCAGAUUCCUCCCCUUUAAAAUGGUGCCAAUAAUAGCACCUACCCUCUGUGAGGAGGAUGCCAUGAGGACAAAGAGAUCAUCCCCAUCAGCCGAGAACCCUGUUCCUCAUAAGGAAAUGAAUAACAUGAAGUGAAGUCUUCAUCUCCAUUCCCAACAGUUCCCAUUCUACUUCCAGAAAGUUGUUGAAGAAAACUAGAAGAAAAAAAGCACCAAGAGUUCUUGACUUAAUCAAAGACAGCAAUUUGAAUAAAUGGUCCUAAAGUCCACAGUAAGUACUUGGUCAAAUGAACCACAAUGUUACUUUGAAUUCUAAGAUUUUACCUUCAUCCUGAAAAAUAAAAAUAAAAAAAAAAUAAAUGCCUGGCUGAACAUUAUUGAUUUGAUAGAGAAGGUAUCAGUUAUUUUCUUACAUAAAAAGGACUCAUAAAAUCUAAGGGUUGUGAUAUUUAGGUUUUCUUGCCUGAAGGAAGGUCAUUUCACAGUAACUUCCUGAAAAAAAUGACUAUAUAUUAUGAUUAGUAACUUAUCCAUAAAAAGGAUAAUCAAUCAUAUGGUUUUGCUGUGUGUCCC